CGGGCGAAACUCCGUAAGCCGCCAUGCAAAAACUGUUACUAGUUUGUGUCCAAUUUUUUUUUCACAAUUAAUCGAACUGGCAACUUCGGACGUUAGCCAACUCUAAAGUGGACCUAUUGUAAAGCGUAAAAUGGAAAACCAACGCCAAAUUCCAGAUGUCUUGAAAAUAUGCAGCAUGGCACCACCUACUUUGAAACCCAACUGGAACCGCUCGCCAAAAAAAUUUUGAAGUCUGGCUUAUUUUGUCGGGCUUGUCUUGACGGAAUUUCCGCUAGAUGGCGAUACAAUACUUUUCAAAAAUAAUGGGCAAAAUUGAGGUAGUCAAAUAGUUCGUCUGCUUCGGAAAUAGUUUAUCUGCUUCAGGAGUGCGGAAGCACGUAAGUUUCUAAUUUUUAAAAGAAAAUUCGGUUUUUAUAAUAUAAAAUCUCAGUUAAAAAGUAAAAUCCAAUGUUUUUUCUACCGAUUCGGGUAGAAUAACAAGGGACAAGUCAAGUGUUUGACCAUUAUGAUCUUGUGAUUCAUAAUUCUAAAGGCCUUACUUUUAUAUUGUCUAAUGUUUAACAAUGUUGGUAGUGAAACAAAACUUUGUUGUGGCUUUAUGAGGAACCAAGAUCCCUUUCCCAAAGAGAAAGAGACUUAACUUGACACAAACAUAUCUACUUAACACAUUGUGUUCUC
This is a long non-coding RNA of Daphnia magna, 678 nucleotides long. RefSeq lists it as uncharacterized. Lineage: Eukaryota; Metazoa; Arthropoda; Branchiopoda; Diplostraca; Daphniidae. The record is from RefSeq and is a predicted model, not a curated record. The transcript has 2 exons.